This 441-nucleotide ribosomal RNA is filed under the name uncultured bacterium. RNAcentral describes it as "bacterial LSU rRNA". It matches the Rfam family "Bacterial large subunit ribosomal RNA", at positions 386 to 828 of the family's 2925-position model. The record is from RNAcentral.
UGCGACAACUCGAUGGGACGUAUCAAGUAGGGCGGGACACGUGCAAUCCUGUCUGAAGAUCGGGGGACCACCCUCGAAGGCUAAGUACUCCUUGCUGACCGAUAGCGAACAAGUACCGUGAGGGAAAGGUGAAAAGCACCCCGACAAGGGGAGUGAAACAGUUCCUGAAACCGGACGCCUACAAACAGUCGGAGCCCACAGGAUGGGUGACGGCGUACCUUUUGUAUAAUGGGUCAACGACUUGGUCUCACGAGCAAGCUUAAGCCGUUAGGUGGAGGCGCAGCGAAAGCGAGUCUGAAUAGGGCGUCGCAGUUCGUGGGAUCAGACCCGAAACCGAGUGAUCUAGGCAUGUCCAGGAUGAAGGUGCAGUAACAUGCACUGGAGGUCCGAACCCACACCUGUUGAAAAAGGUCGGGAUGAGGUGUGCCUAGGGGUGAAAGG